This 254-nucleotide ribosomal RNA is filed under the name uncultured Staphylococcus sp. RNAcentral describes it as "partial 16S ribosomal RNA". It matches the Rfam family "Bacterial small subunit ribosomal RNA", at positions 86 to 334 of the family's 1533-position model. Lineage: Bacteria; Bacillati; Bacillota; Bacilli; Caryophanales; Staphylococcaceae. The record is from RNAcentral.
CUGACGUUAGCGUCGGACGGGUGAGUAACACGUGGGUAACCUACCUAUAAGACUGGGAUAACUCCGGGAAACCGGGGCUAAUACCGGAUAACACAUGAAACCGCAUGGUUUCAUGAUGAAAGACGGUUUUGCUGUCACUUAUAGAUGGACCCGCGGCGUAUUAGCUAGUUGGUAAGGUAACGGCUUACCAAGGCAACGAUACGUAGCCGACCUGAGAGGGUGAUCGGCCACACUGGAACUGAGACACGGUCCAG